CUGGCCGCGUGCUUACCAUGCAGUCGAACGGAGAUUCAGCAAUGGAUCUUAGUGGCGAACGGGUGAGUAACGCGUAGGCAAUCUGCCUUCUAGAUGGGGACAACAUCCCGAAAGGGGUGCUAAUACCGAAUGUUGUACCGUUUCCGCAUGGAGAUGAUACUAAAGGUGGCCUCUGAAUAUGCUACCGCUAGAAGAUGAGCCUGCGUCUGAUUAGCUAGUUGGAGGGGUAACGGCCCACCAAGGCUUCGAUCAGUAGCCGGUCUGAGAGGAUGAACGGCCACACUGGGACUGAGACACGGCCCAGACUCCUACGGGAGGCAGCAGUGGGGAAUCUUCCGCAAUGGACGAAAGUCUGACGGAGCAACGCCGCGUGAGUGAAGAAGGUUUUCGGAUCGUAAAGCUCUUUCGUUAGGGACGAACGUGCUCUUUGUGAAUAAUGAGGAGUAAUGACGGUACCUAAAUAAGAAGCCACGGCUAACUACGUGCCAGCAGCCGCGGUAAUACGUAGGUGGCAAGCGUUGUCCGGAAUUAUUGGGCGUAAAGCGCGCGCAGGCGGGAUAUCAAGUCUGUCUUAAAAGUGCGAGGCUCAACCUCGUGAGGGGACGGAAACUGGUAUUCUUGAGUGUCGGAGAGGAAAGUGGAAUUCCAAGUGUAGCGGUGAAAUGCGUAGAGAUUUGGAAGAACACCAGUGGCGAAGGCGACUUUCUGGGACGAUGUCUGACGCUGAGGCGCGAAAGCUAGGGGAGCGAACGGGAUUAGAUACCCCGGUAGUCCUAGCCGUAAACGAUGGGUACUAAGGGGUGUAGGGGGGUAUCGACCC
RNAcentral lists this ribosomal RNA (820 nucleotides) under uncultured Anaerovibrio sp. RNAcentral's name for it is "bacterial SSU rRNA". It matches the Rfam family "Bacterial small subunit ribosomal RNA", at positions 36 to 838 of the family's 1533-position model. Lineage: Bacteria; Bacillati; Bacillota; Negativicutes; Selenomonadales; Selenomonadaceae. The record is from RNAcentral.